AGUGAACGCUGGCGGUAGGCCUAACACAUGCGAGUCGAACGGCAGCACAGUAAGAGCUUGCUCUUACGGGUGGCGAGUGGCGGACGGGUGAGGAAUACAUCGGAAUCUACUUUUUCGUGGGGGAUAACGUAGGGAAACUUACGCUAAUACCGCAUACGACCUACGGGUGAAAGCAGGGGAUCUUCGGACCUUGCGCGAUUGAAUGAGCCGAUGUCGGAUUAGCUAGUUGGCGGGGUAAAGGCCCACCAAGGCGACGAUCCGUAGCUGGUCUGAGAGGAUGAUCAGCCACACGGGAACUGAGACCGGUUCCAGCCUCCUACGGGGGGCGGCAGGGGGGAAUUUUGGAAAAGGGGCGCAAGCCUGAUCCAGCCAUACCGGGUGGGUGAAGAAGGCCUUCGGGUUGUAAAGCCCUUUUGUUGGGAAAAAAAAGCAGCAGGUUAAAACCCCGCUGUUCUGACGGUACCCAAAGAAUAAGCCCCGGCUAACUUCGU
Molecule: ribosomal RNA, 491 nt
Filed under: uncultured bacterium
Lineage: Bacteria
Description: partial 16S ribosomal RNA
Rfam family: Bacterial small subunit ribosomal RNA
Source: RNAcentral